Long non-coding RNA from Octodon degus (degu), 687 nucleotides. RefSeq lists it as uncharacterized. NCBI's taxonomy places the organism in Eukaryota, Metazoa, Chordata, Mammalia, Rodentia, Octodontidae. The transcript has 3 exons. The record is from RefSeq and is a predicted model, not a curated record.
CACGGCGCCUCGUGCACCGCGCACCGGCCGCUGCCUCAGCCUUCCCGCGCGGUCCUCCCGGACUUGGCUUCCCCCAGGCUCUGCGCGGGGUGCGACUGAGAGGUUCCGGAGUCCGGACGCCCGCGGGCUGCCGAAGAGCAGGUUCCGCCAGCCCGGCCCGCUCAGCGCCGCCCCGGGGUGCGCAGUGUUGACGUCAUUCUGUACCUGGCACUGCAUGUUCUAGCGAUAGUUCACAGUCACCUCAGAAAGAGGCUUUUUUUCUGGACAGCUCAAAAGGAAAUAUUUAUAUACUUGGAAUGCAGAAUAUUUUGGUAUUGGUAAGUCUGACUGGGGAUAUUGCUCUGUGGUAUGAGUGCCUCCCUGGUAUUGGUAAGUCUGUCCAUGAAACUUUUGUAAGAGCUUGGGACCCAGGAUGUGUGAUUUGUCCCCCUCUGUAACAAACAUCCCUGUGGUUCCUUCUGAGCCUGUGGAUGACAGAAACUCAAACCCAGAACAGUUUCAUCUGGAACAGGAGCCGUUUACUUAUUUAUUCUUUGCAGUUAAAAAAAAAAUUACUAGUACAUUUUAGAUACACAUAAUGAUAACAUUCAUAAUAGAGAGUUCAUAUCUGUACAUGAUUUAUCUUGCACCUUUUUUCCCAUCUCCUUCCCCUGCCUUCAAAUCUUCUUCCUCUCCUUACUUAGAAAA